RNA transcript from Dicentrarchus labrax (European seabass), 4313 nucleotides. It is a transcript of the gene named ras homolog family member T1a, with no coding region annotated. The transcript has 21 exons. Lineage: Eukaryota; Metazoa; Chordata; Actinopteri; Moronidae. The record is from RefSeq and is a predicted model, not a curated record.
UCGUAGUUGCCGGGUAGUGGAGGUCGGGCAUGCUUGUGAAACAACCACCACGAAAUGCUAUGCAGGCGCCCCCCUGAAAAAAAAACAAAAAAACAGGUAUUAACAUGAAAUGACAGAGAAACGUGCCACGGACUACUUUCUUGAAUCGCUUCCCCGCUGAGCCGACACGUCGCCAAGGUGACGGGAGGCGCGUAGAAGACGCGGAAGCAUCGCGGAGAACCGUCCGUCCGUUUUGUCCUACAAAAGGCGCCGACAGUUUGACAGCGGCAGGAGCUCAGUGCGCAGGCCUGAGCGUUAACGGUAGGUUAACUGCCGCAGGAAGGACGGCAGCCAGAGGACUACAUGAAACCAUAAAGACAAGUCCUUUUUUGUGCAGAGGGAAACUAGAUAAAACAUGAGGAAGGACGUGAGGAUACUGCUCGUCGGGGAACCCAAAGUGGGGAAAACAUCACUGAUAAUGUCUCUGGUCAGUGAGGAGUUUCCGGAUGAGGUUCCUCUCCGAGCUGAGGAGAUCACCAUCCCAGCUGAUGUCACCCCAGAGAGGGUGCCCACGCACAUUGUGGACUACUCAGAAGCUGAACAGUCAGACGAGCAGCUAUACCAAGAAAUAUCAAAGGCAAAUGUUAUCUGCAUAGUUUACUCAGUCAACAACAAGAAGUCCAUUGAAAAGGUGACAAGCCACUGGAUUCCCCUCAUAAAUGACAGGACGGACAAGGAUAGCAGGGUACCAUUGAUCCUUGUGGGAAACAAGUCAGACCUGGUAGAACACAGCAGCAUGGAGACCAUCCUGCCAAUUAUGAAUCAAUACCAGGACAUCGAGACCUGCGUAGAGUGCUCUGCCAAAAACCUGAAGAACAUCUCUGAGCUGUUCUACUACGCCCAGAAGGCUGUUCUCCACCCGACAGGACCCCUGUACUGCCCAGAGGAGAAGGAGCUGAAGCCCUCUUGCAUUAAGGCUUUAACUAGAAUCUUUAAAGUGUCCGACCUGGACAACGACGGCAUCCUUAAUGACAAUGAGCUCAACUUCUUCCAGAAAACGUGUUUCAAUACACCACUGGCACCUCAGGCCUUAGAGGAUGUAAAGAAUGUGGUCAGGAGGAACAUGACAGAUGGAGUCAAGGACAACGGACUCACACUCAAAGGGUUCCUGUUCCUCCACACCCUCUUCAUACAGCGAGGGCGACAUGAGACCACGUGGACUGUGCUUAGGCGGUUUGGUUAUGACGAUGACCUGGAGCUCACACAGGAAUACCUGUUUCCCUUGCUAAAGAUCCCCCCCGACUGCACCACAGAGCUUAACCACAACGCUUACCUCUUCCUCCAGAGUGUCUUUGACAAACAUGACAAGGACAGAGAUUGUGCGUUGUCGCCAGAGGAGGUGAAGGACUUGUUCAAAGUGUUUCCCUACAUGCCCUGGGGUCCAGAUGUCAACAACACUGUUUGCACUAACGACCAGGGAUGGAUCACAUACCAGGGAUAUCUCUCUCAGUGGACGUUGACAACAUAUCUAGAUGUACAGCGUAGUUUGGAGUACUUGGGUUACCUGGGCUACUCUAUCAUCUAUGAACAGGAGUCCCAAGCUGCUGCCAUUACAGUGACACGUAACAAGCGCAUUGAUCUGCAGAAGAAACAGACCCAGCGCAGCGUCUUCCGCUGCAACGUCUUGGGGGCCCGGGACAGCGGGAAGACUGGCUUCCUCCAAGCGUUCCUGGGCAAGGACCUGCAGCGACAGAGGCGGAUUAGAGAAGACCACAAGUCCCUCUAUGCCAUCAGCACGACUUAUGUGUAUGGUCAGGAGAAGUACCUGCUGCUCCAUGAGGUGAUGCCAGAUUUUGACUUCCUGUCAGAGGCGGACCUAGCCUGCGAUGUGGUGUGCCUAGUGUAUGACAUCAACAAUCCACGCUCUUUUGAAUACUGCGCCAAAGUGUACAAGCAAUACUUCAUAGACAGCAAGACGCCAUGUGUGGUGAUUGCCGCCAAGUCAGACCUGCACGAAAUACGGCAGCACUACAGCCUCUCGCCGCAGGAGUUCUGCCGUAAGCAUAAGCUCCACCCACCCCAGCCGUUCACAUGCAACACGACUGAGGCUCUCAACAAAGACAUCUACACUAGACUCACCACCAUGGCCAUGUAUCCCCACGCCCGUCUCCGCUGCAUGUGUGCCUGCAACAGGUGCACCUAUUGCCUGUGUCAGAACCUCCUCAAGUCGGAGCUGCUGCGCAAUAUUAAGGCCCAACUGCGCAGGGUCGUUUUCAACAGGUGUUCAUACCCAUGUUUUUGGCUGCCCCUCUUCCUCUUCCUCUUGCAUGUUUUCACCCUCUGCUAAUCUGCCUCUCUGGGUAACUAAAGGCAUGCCUCGGUCCUAUAUUUUGCCAUCUACUGGCGGCUGGGAACAGGUUUCUCAUCUGUCCGUGUCUGCAGUAAAGAGAGCUUGGUGUUUUGAAUAAAGUGGGGGAGGUUUACUGAACCACAGUGCAGGGUUUGAAUGGCUGUUUAUGGUGUUGGAUUGGGCAGAAGCGUGUUGUGUGUUUGCUGAAUUUGAAUAUGUUAAACUCAACAGUGGCAUAAAAUGUGCAGGGCCUUUGGUUGGGUGUCCUUGGACCCAGGCAGAGCUAUAUGCUGUAGUGUUGCAUCCAGCACUAACCCCUUUGUGUUGAUGCGUACUUAAUCUUGGGAGUUGUUGACACUAUUAAUAGCAUGACACUUACUGGCAGUGCAAGGGGCUGACCCACCACAUUGAACGCCCAGCGUGUUUUCUCAAAAGUAGUUCUGUUGUUUUAAAUGUAUAUAGUAGAACAAUGUAAUUCAAUAGUGUGCAAUACUGAAAUCACUUCAGGUCACCAAAGUUACAAACAAACAGUAGUAAAUUGUGUCAGGUCACUUGAGAAACUUGAUUUUAUGGAAGCCAGUGCAGAGGGAAUACAAGUCUCCAGCGAUUUCUGUUGUUCUGCACUUUAAUCAAAAUUUACUGCCAUGAAUACGUAAGAGCGUUUUCUGCAGCAAAGAAAGUUUUCCCAAGAAACUCACACUCGAGAUCUUUUCAAAUUGAUUUCACUUCUCAAAAUGGCUCAACCCUUCCAGUCUGGCUGCCAUGUGGUGUGUACAGUAUGUAUCUGUGGUGUGUUUGUGUAGCUUUAUUGUCGUUGUCUGAAGUGUGUGGUAACAUUUGACACGGUAUGCAGUCAUGGUUGAGCUUGUGCUUUAAACGUUUGGGUGGUGAUUGAAGUUCUCUGCUUUUACGGGGUGGGCAGAGCUGGGUGAGGAGGCAGAUAUCACGAUAGUUUCAACUUCAUAUUACAAUAUGUUUUGUGUUACUGUUGACAUUUACUGUGAAAUGUCACCUGCACAAACAAACAUUAUUAAUGUGGCCAAGAAACUGAAUUAACUGAAUCUCAACCAAAAUCAUAAUAAUGAUAUAUAGUCUUACAGCACAAUAUCAGUUUUAUUUUCAUGCUGUUUCCCAGCUAUAAGGUAAUUGAAUAUUAAAAGAAAUAAUAAUUUAAAAAAAAGAAAAUUAAAAUUAUUUGAUGUCAAUGAAGAUGUACUGUAGUGUUAAAGCAAGUACAGGCAUUCAUGGAUAAUUUCAUCAGUCAUAUUAUUUUAAUGUGAGAAGGCUAGGACAACAUAUAUUCUGUGUUACAACAUUAUAAGAGCUUUAAUCAUUCUGAUAAUUAAUUAGUUGUUUUGUUUCUUUGUUUUUUAGACAAAUAUGCACAAAGUUCUCUGGUUUCAGCUUCUUAAAGUGAUUUUUUUUCUGGUUUUCAUAUAGUCUGCCCUGAUAAUUAACUUAAUAUCUUUGGUUUUUAGACUGUUGUCAGCCAGAAAAAGAAGACAUCACCAUUAAUUAAUUGUCAAUUUAUGGAUGAUUAAUCAAGAAACCAAUCUGCAGUUAAGUAAUCGCUAAUGAGAAUAAUUAUUAGUAUCUAGUAUCUCCCAGCUCUACCUAGUGUGUGCGUGUGUGCGUGUGUGCGUGUGUGCGUGUGUGUGCGAGUGUGUGCGUGCGUGUGUGUGGGUGUGGGCUAGGCUGGGCGGAGGCUGUGGGGGAGGGGCUACCUGCUGUCAGAGGAGGAUUUCAGCCUGUCACAGCAGGUUUCAGCCGUCUCCAACGUGGACGGGUCCGUCUUUAUGGAGGUCUCUGCUGUGCAGCUAAUUCCCCCAGAAAGGCACAUGGCUCAGGCGGACCUGAAGAACUCGACCUUCUGGCUGAGAGCGAGCGUCGGUGCCACAGUGUGCGCCGUGCUGGGCUUCGCCAUGUACAGAGCACUUCUCAAACAGCGGUGAUCAGACAGCAUGAGACACCUACUUCCUCUCCC